AGCGAACGCUGGCGGCAGGCCUAACACAUGCAAGUCGAACGAACCUUUCGGGGUUAGUGGCGGACGGGUGAGUAACACGUGGGAACGUUCCUUUAGGUUCGGAAUAACUCAGGGAAACUUGUGCUAAUACCGAAUGUGCCCUUCGGGGGAAAGAUUAAUCGCCGUUAGAGCGGCCCGCGUCUGAUUAGCUAGUUGGUUGAGGUAAUGGCUCACCAAGGCGACGAUCAGUAGCUGGUCUGAGAGGAUGAUCAGCCACAUUGGGACUGAGACACGGCCCAAACUCCUACGGGAGGCAGCAGUGGGGAAUCUUGCGCAAUGGGCGAAAGCCUGACGCAGCCAUGCCGCGUGAAUGAUGAAGGUCUUAGGAUUGUAAAAUUCUUUCACCGGGGACGAUAAUGACGGUACCCGGAGAAGAAGCCCCGGCUAACUUCGUG
RNAcentral lists this ribosomal RNA (434 nucleotides) under uncultured bacterium. RNAcentral's name for it is "partial 16S ribosomal RNA". It matches the Rfam family "Bacterial small subunit ribosomal RNA", at positions 29 to 507 of the family's 1533-position model. The record is from RNAcentral.